UUCAUUACUACCUUAUUUUGAGUGUGGUAACACAAAGUUGGUAAUGCGAAAGGUGAUUAUAUAAGAGUGUGUAUGUACAUGCCAAAGUACUAGUAGGUAUUAACAUAAUAUGUUAAUACAUAUUAUGUAUGUAUGUGUUAAUAUAUGUAAAACUACAAAUUCGAAAAAAAUCAAUAUACUUCUGAAAACCCCACAAACUAUGGAAUUUUUCCAAACUGGAGAACAAAACAAUUCAUUUUCCAGCUAAAAAAAACAAAGGAAAUAUUUAACAAAGUUUCGACCAUGUUUUUAUUACUUAACUUUUUUUUUAAUUUUGCAACUUUGACAUUUUCAGUGCAACUUUUUCCUUCUUGUGGACCUAUAAUUAGCAAUUUCAAGUAGCAUACUAUGCCAUACAUACUCGACAAAAUUGAGUUACGAGAAUUUGUAUACUUAGGUACGCACGUGGCAUAAGCUGUACAUUUUAAUUGGAAGGUGUAUUUUUAUUUUUUUAAAGUAUCCCAUUUUUCGCAAAACUUCAUUCACUGCAAAUUUCAAUAAAUCAUAAAAUCAAUACAUUUUGUAAGAUUGGAAUUGACUAAGGAGGGGAGCUUGCGAGGUUGA
Long non-coding RNA from Folsomia candida, 603 nucleotides. RefSeq lists it as uncharacterized. NCBI's taxonomy places the organism in Eukaryota, Metazoa, Arthropoda, Collembola, Entomobryomorpha, Isotomidae. The record is from RefSeq and is a predicted model, not a curated record. The transcript is spliced from 2 exons.